CAUUAAAAAAAGGGUCGCAAGACCCAUUUUAAAACCUACCACCACCUAUCAUUUGUGGCCUGUCUAUGGGUGAGAUGGAGGAGGUAUGGUUUUUUAAAAUCCAAUUAUUAUAAUAUAUAUAUAUAUCGUCUAACGACGAAAUUAAAAAUUUCUAAAAACUUUCAACAAUGGAUCUCUUGGCUCUCGCAUCGAUGAAGAACGCAGCGAAUUGCGAUAAGUAGUAUGAAUUGCAAAUUCUGUGAAUCAUCGAAUCUUUGAACGCAUAUUGCGCUCUCUGGUACUCCGGAGAGCAUGCCUGUUUGAGGGUAAUUAACAGAAUCUUUAACCUUUUUCUUGGUUAAAGGAUAUGGGCCUUCCGCGAUCAGCGGUGGCCUAAAAUAUAUGGUCAGUCUCAUCGAGAGGAGAUGUGUAAUAAUUAUUAUUUCGCAAAACCAUUCGAUGAGCUACCAAGUUUUGAUUCAUUCAACUAUGUUGCGUGCGGUUAAAACAAAUAUUUUUGACAUUACCUCAAAUCAGGUAGGAAUACCCGCUGAACUUAAGCAUAUCAAUA
Molecule: ribosomal RNA, 550 nt
Filed under: uncultured Archaeosporales
Lineage: Eukaryota; Fungi; Glomeromycota; Glomeromycetes; Archaeosporales
Description: eukaryotic LSU rRNA
Rfam family: 5.8S ribosomal RNA (bases 157-309)
Source: RNAcentral